RNAcentral lists this transfer RNA (82 nucleotides) under Corticimicrobacter populi. RNAcentral's name for it is "Bordetella sp. 3d-2-2 tRNA-Ala". Lineage: Bacteria; Pseudomonadati; Pseudomonadota; Betaproteobacteria; Burkholderiales; Alcaligenaceae. The record is from RNAcentral.
GGGGGGUAGCCACGGCGUGAGUUAUUUGACCUUCGCAUUCGCAAUGCGAAGGUCGGGAGUUCGAUCCUCCUCCGCUCCACCA